Apis florea (little honeybee) is the source of this 295-nucleotide long non-coding RNA. The record is from RefSeq and is a predicted model, not a curated record. Lineage: Eukaryota; Metazoa; Arthropoda; Insecta; Hymenoptera; Apidae.
AAUAUCUUUACGAUCCUAUAAGCUGGAAAUAUCUUUUUAAAAAAUUAUUGUGUAAAGUUCAACGAAUAUUCUCGAACGUAUGAAAUUCGUCGCGAGUCAAGGAAGCAGAAACGUGAAAUUAUUCAAGAGUCACCUAUCAGAAUCUCCAUCGUAACCGAGUUUCUAUAUACCUUGCAUCGUGGUGAACUGUCAAAGGACAGCUUCAAACAAAUAUCUAGUCAACUAUCGCACGAGUAUACAUCUAAGCAUUUCCCAAAUGCAUAAUCUUCGACUAUCUGCAUUUCCUGAAUAUCUU